UACAGAGGGUGCGAGCGUUAAUCGGAAUUACUGGGCGUAAAGCGUGCGUAGACGGUUAUUUAAGUCGGGUGUGAAAGCCCCGGGCUCAACCUGGGAAUUGCAUUCGAGACUGAAUAGCUAGGGUACGGUAGAGGGAAGCGGAAUUUCCGGUGUAGCGGUGAAAUGCGUAGAUAUCGGAAGGAACACCGGUGGCGAAGGCGGCGUUCUGGACUGCAACUGACACUGAUGAACGAAAGCCAGGGGAGCAAACGGG
RNAcentral lists this ribosomal RNA (253 nucleotides) under uncultured bacterium. Its description in RNAcentral is "partial 16S ribosomal RNA". It matches the Rfam family "Bacterial small subunit ribosomal RNA", at positions 524 to 776 of the family's 1533-position model. The record is from RNAcentral.